UCGAGAAUCAUUCGCAAUGGGCGAAAGCCUGACGAUGCGACGCUGCGUGAGCGAAGAAGGCCUUCGGGUUGUAAAGCUCUUUCGCUUGGGAAUAAGAGAUGUUGGCUAACAUCCAACAGAUUUGAACGUACUAGGUAAAGAAGCACCGGCUAACUCCGUGCCAGCAGCUGCGGUAAUACGGAGGGUGCAAGCAUUAAUCGGAUUUAUUGGGCGUAAAGGGCGCGUAGGCGGGCAUGAAAGUCAGAUGUGAAAUCCCGGGGCUCACCCCCGGAACAGCAUUUGAAACUCCAUGUCUAGAGGGUAGGCGGAGAAAACGGAAUUCCACAAGUAGCGGUGAAAUGCGUAGAUAUGUGGAAGAACACCAGUGGCGAAGGCGGUUUUCUAGCUUAUUCCUGACGCUGAGGCGCGAAAGCAAGGGGAUCAAACAGGAUUAGAUACCCGUGUAGUCC
This 449-nucleotide ribosomal RNA is filed under the name uncultured bacterium. Its description in RNAcentral is "bacterial SSU rRNA". It matches the Rfam family "Bacterial small subunit ribosomal RNA", at positions 355 to 796 of the family's 1533-position model. The record is from RNAcentral.